Rana temporaria (common frog) is the source of this 956-nucleotide long non-coding RNA. RefSeq lists it as uncharacterized. The transcript has 2 exons. Lineage: Eukaryota; Metazoa; Chordata; Amphibia; Anura; Ranidae. The record is from RefSeq and is a predicted model, not a curated record.
AGCAGAACACCUUGUUGCUGGAAAAAGAUUAGUGGGCGCACAGAUCAUCCUUCAAGAAUGAGUGGAAACAUAAAGGAAAAUUCAAUGCAGUAUAAGGCCAAAGUUGAGAAACCAGGAAUACAGCAAUGUGUGGGCAGUGGAGACAGACCUCGGGAAAGUACAGAUAAAUUGUAAUCUCCCUCAAGUUGCCAUGGAAACAGAGGAAUCCUGCAUCAUCAGGACACAGUGUUUGUGCUGUAGGAAUCAGAAAUGUCUCUCGGCCGAUAAAAUCAGUAACAUUACUGGGAUCAUCUGACAGACACAGAGCACAUCUCACCUUACCCAGGGUGGAGCUCCCGUAAACAGAAGAGGAUGGCAUCCCCUGCUUCCCACACAGCAAGAAAAUGCAAUAUACAUCAUGGCCAGAAAUCAGAAGCCCAUACUGCUUCAGCAUCCUUUCCCAAAGUCUCAUCGGUGAACUAGGAAGAGAGUCAAGCCCCGAGAGACUUCAUCUAGUGUAUUUCCUGACAGCCAUGUGUGAGUCCCUAUGUCAGAAUUCGUAUGGCACCAGCCAAUCACUUUUCUGUGAUCGAUCACGUCUCACAGCUGCAAAAACAAAGUAAAACCCACAGCCAAUUUAGAAAAAUUCCAAUAUGUUUGACACGAUUUUCCAUAUCUACAUAUCAGAUCAAAUAAACUACCAGAUUGCAUCCAGCAAACACUGCAUUACAAAGAAAAGAUGUCCAUGUAUGUGCCUUCAUACCAUCCUUAAAUGAAAGACUCGAAUCAAUCAUCUUCCACAGAGAUUCAAACUCAAUGGUUGUGCAAAAGCCACCAUGUCUACUUUGUCUGGCUACUUCCCAAAGGUAAAACAGGCGUCACCCAAGAGACUAUACCUGCAGGCAGAAGCCAACACUAAAUUAAACUGACAACCACCUGAUGCUUCCAGUACGUAACUAAAAAUCAAAUGAAUCGUU